This is a long non-coding RNA of Oncorhynchus tshawytscha (Chinook salmon), 2599 nucleotides long. Lineage: Eukaryota; Metazoa; Chordata; Actinopteri; Salmoniformes; Salmonidae. The record is from Ensembl.
CACAAGUUGAACCUGUGGUUUAUUUUUCAGCAAUGUCCACGAGGCGGCGCUUGGCGGACAGGGAGCAGAGGCGCGUCACUGAAGCGUACGAGUCAAACUCAUGAGUCAUGGCCGAAAGUGCGCGAGUUAAGCUUAGUGACGAUGUCUGCUUUGCUGGCUGAAGAUGUCUGCUCCCGGCUUAGGGAAGCCACACAGGUACAUAAUGAAGCAGUUAAAUCAAUGGCGAUUGUUCGAUGGCGUUAGUGUGGCCAGAAGCGAAUACAUAUUUUUAAACGAGACGAGGCACAAUCUCUAAACCAAAGAGAUUCGCUGCUGAAGUGUCCAACUGAUGUGGAGAACAAGCCUCCAAGGACGUUCAUUCGCAGAGACGGACGAACCCCCGCUCGCUGGUUCUAGCAGUGAAGAGGGCGAACCGGAUGAGUCCGAGCCGUGCACUUCCACCGAUGAUGACAGCUCCCUGGGUGGACAAGAGCAGGUGGUCGCACCAGGCUUAGCCACACCUCCAAACAAUGCUGGCAGAGACCCUACUAUCUGAGACCCGGACUCAGAUUCGUCGCGAUAUGAAUGGAUCUUUACGGGAUAUGUUAGUGCAGGCUGGGCCAUAUCAGGAUAAGGUAGGGGAGUUGAGGGCCAACGAAAAUGUUCGGUGGCCAACUACAAUAUGAGGAUGGCGAACGGAGAGAGAGUGGAGAUACCAUGGCUCGUUAAUUCCAAGCAAAAUGAUGCGGCCUUCUAUUUUUGCUGUUUUUCACGAGGGCAAAUCUGCGCUGGUCUUGGAUGGAACCAGGGACUGGGAAUAAUCUGUGCCACCUCCUCAGCUCGCAUGAGAAGUCGCAUGACCGCCUAGAUAGUAUCCAGAGGUGGAAGGAGCUGGAGAUCAGGCUGGUGUCCAAGGAAGCUAUCGAUGCCCAAGCCCAACGGGCUAUUGACAGAGAGACUCUCCAUUGGCAGUAUGUGCUGCAGAGGCUCAUAGCCCUGAUAUGUGUAAUGGCCACCCAAAACAUUGCGCUACGUAGGACCAGGCUGAACGAGCCAAAUAAUGUGAACUUUCUGAAGUUCUGGAUUUCUUUGAUUUGAUUUCAGGACCAUGGACAGCUACCGAGAGAAAACAUCGCUGACUGCAAUGCAGCAUCACAGCAAAGGGAAGAGACCACUCUAGGCGGGCCACGAAUUGAAGAAAUGCUGAAAUGUGAAGUCUGAGCCAUGAACUAGAACAGCUUAACUGCGUAUAUGGUGAAGAGCCUGCAGACUCCAUAUGGUGAAGAGACUCCAUAUGGUGAAGAGCCUGGUUCAGAACCCUGUACCUCGGCUCGUAAGUACGCAUCCUGGUGUCCAGCGUCGUGUACUGCAUCCUGGAGCCGCUGGUCGCCUCCAACUCCCUCAACGACCACUGGACCCUUAUGGAGUACGCAGCUCUGUGGGUCACCCACAUGUUCUGGACCCAUGGAGACCUGGUCAGUGGUCUGUUGUCUCUGCAGAAGGUUCUGUCAGACCCGGUCCGCCCGCUGUGUUCUCACUAUGGAGUUGUAGGGGGCUACAUGCACUUAGAGGAAAUGUAUCCACCUCCCAUCCAUCUUGUAUCCAUCUUAUCUAUGUAUGAAAAUAUAAUUUCUUUCAUUUAGAGAUCCUUGGCUUUGUUGAUCACUGUGUGUGUUGUCUGUCUUUGUAGGCUAUUGAGUGAGUCAUAUACCCUUACCUGCAAGCUGUCCUGGAUGACUACUCUGUCUCCAAUGCCCAGGUGAAAGCAGACAGACACAAGUCUAUGGAGCAAUCCUGUACCAAUGCCCUCUCUGUCCUGCCGGUGGCAGUGGAGCACCUGCUAAAGAUUAGAGCCCUGUCUCUGUCCCUGCCAGCAGAGGGGUCGACAGCACCCAGCCACGCUUCGGGAGUGUGAUUUCCGCCGGGCUCAGCCUCUCUCCGAGGCCACGCUGGGCAUCGUCAGUCCCCUGCAGGGACCUGGGGGAGCUGGAACCCCCUGGAAUGACUGGACCACAUCCCCCUGCCCGCCAUGUACUGUGAGCAGGUGGUUAAGAGUGUUGGGCUAGUAACCAAAAGGUUGUUGGUUCGAAUCACCGAGCCGACGAGGUGAAAUUUUCUGUCUGUGCCUUUGAGCAAGACACUCAAGUCUAAUUCCACCUGUAAAGCACAGCUGUCGCUAUUUGAUAUUUGAUAUUAUUUAUAAAUAUUGGAUUUAGUUGCAUAUAUUAUUAAGUUGCAUACAAUAACUGUACCAUUUACAAUGCACUUCUCUGUGCAAACAGGUAAUAACUUUCUAUCAUCUUACACAUUGUCCUUGGGAUUGGUGGACAGUCAAACUGAAAGGAAGCAACUUCUAUUGCUUAGGGAUGGAUCGACAUUUACAUAAUGGGUACCUGAUGGAAAAUGUGGGAGGUUCAUGCUUUUAAUAUUUCAGCCAAGGGGUUUCAAUUUUUUUUUAAAUCUAGUCCAGGGGAGGGUCAUGUCAUUUAUGAAAUGUCAAUAUUUUUCAGUUGCUUAUUAGGCUAUAUAUACACAUCUGCAUUGUUUGCUGUUUGGGGUUUUGGUCUGGGUUUCUGAACAGCACUUUGUGACAUCUGCUGAUGUAAAAAAGGCUUUAUAA